AAUUUUAUAUUAUUAUUAAUUUUUUCUUCUUAUUUAUUUAUAUUUUUUAUUUAUUUUUAUUUAAAU
This 66-nucleotide transfer RNA is filed under the name Pselaphanus sp. QL-2013. Its description in RNAcentral is "tRNA-Glu". The record is from RNAcentral. Lineage: Eukaryota; Metazoa; Arthropoda; Insecta; Hymenoptera; Braconidae.